UACGUAGGGGCUAGCGUUAUCCGGAUUUACUGGGCGUAAAGGGUGCGUAGGUGGUUUCUUAAGUCAGAGGUGAAAGGCUACGGCUCAACCGUAGUAAGCCUUUGAAACUGGGAAACUUGAGUACAGGAGAGGAGAGUGGAAUUCCUAGUGUAGCGGUGAAAUGCGUAGAUAUUAGGAGGAACACCAGUUGCGAAGGCGGCUCUCGGGACUGUAACUGACACUGAGGCACGAAAGCGUGGGGAGCAAACAGGAUUAGAUACCCCGGUAGUCCCUGAGCGGGCUGGCAA
This 287-nucleotide ribosomal RNA is filed under the name uncultured prokaryote. RNAcentral's name for it is "partial 16S ribosomal RNA". It matches the Rfam family "Bacterial small subunit ribosomal RNA", at positions 524 to 815 of the family's 1533-position model. The record is from RNAcentral.